AGUGAACGCUGGCGGUAGGCCUAACACAUGCAAGUCGAACGGCAGCACAGUAAGAGCUUGCUCUUACGGGUGGCGAGUGGGGGACGGGUGAGGAAUACAUCGGAAUCUACUUUUUCGUGGGGGAUAACGUAGGGAAACUUACGCUAAUACCGCAUACGACCUACGGGUGAAAGCAGGGGAUCUUCGGACCUUGCGCGAUUGAAUGAGCCGAUGUCGGAUUAGCUAGUUGGCGGGGUAAAGGCCCACCAAGGCGACGAUCCGUAGCUGGUCUGAGAGGAUGAUCAGCCACACUGGAAUUGAGACACGGUCCAGACUCCUACGGGAGGCAGCAGUGGGGAAUAUUGGACAAUGGGCGCAAGCCUGAUCCAGCCAUACCGCGUGGGUGAAGAAGGCCUUCGGGUUGUAAAGCCCUUUUGUUGGGAAAGAAAAGCAGCAGGUUAAUACCCCGCUGUUCUGACGGUACCCAAAGAAUAAGCACCGGCUAACUUCGUG
This 492-nucleotide ribosomal RNA is filed under the name uncultured bacterium. RNAcentral's name for it is "partial 16S ribosomal RNA". It matches the Rfam family "Bacterial small subunit ribosomal RNA", at positions 29 to 507 of the family's 1533-position model. The record is from RNAcentral.